UUGCACUGUAAUUAACACACACCAGAAGGAUGGUAAUUGAUAAUUCCCUGAGAAAGAAUCACGUCACUUUGCUGCCUUAUUCACUUUAGUUAAGAUUUUCUUCGUAUUAUAGCUACCCCCAGUGCUCCUCCAAUACAUCCCUCAAGCUAAAGGCCAGAUUCUGUUUACCUGCAGAUCAGAUGCAGAAGAAAUCCACUGACUCCCAGGGAGUUCUUCCAGAUCUGCUGCCGUGUAAGUGGGAUGCUGGUGUAGCCAUAAACACCAGUGUGUCACUAAUCAAAUCUCCCUGGUUUUUCUCCCCCCCGUGCAUUUCCCAGCUCUGCACAGCAAGCUGCAUUAUUGCAUUCUGUUCCUUCCCUGGCUGCAAACUCCUCGGAUUCCAACACAUACCUGAACGCUUCCCAUGCUAAAUUCCGAGCACAGCGGAGAGGAGCCUGUCCUGCGUGCCAUCCCCGAGCGGAGAUGUGCUCGCCAUGGAGAUGCUGUUAUCAGAGCCAGCUGUUCAAACACUGAUAAGAAGCCACGCGAGCAGAGGUCAAAGGCACACGGACCGCAGUUCCUCCCUCCUACCCCACAGCAAAAACAAGCAAGUCCCGCUGCGCUGCUCCAAGGGUGAAUCAGAGUUUCUGCGGCAGGGUCAGCAGCACACGGCGAUGGGAGGGAGGAUGGCCUCGCUGCUGGCAGGGAGAGGGGGCCGUGCGAGGGAGGAUGAGAGGAGCCAAUUUCUCGCGGACCUGCAGAGUUGAUUGCAAAGAGACGCGGAUCACAGAAUCAUUAAAGUUGGAAAAGACCUCAAGAUCACUGAUCCCAACCUCUGACCCCUUGUCAACUACACAGAGCACUGAGUGCCACAUCCAGUCAUUCCUUGGAGACCUCCAGGGAAGGAGAGUUCUCUGGACAGCCCAUUCCAAUGCUUGACCACCCUUUCAAUGAAGAAAUUCUUCCUGAUGUCCACCCUGAACCUCCCCUGGCACAGCUUGAGGCCUUUUCCUUCUGUCCAGGGGCUUGUACCUCUUCCCCUUCAUUUCCUGCAUCUCCCAUCCUCUGUUUCACAUGGCAUGUAAAUUAACUUCAGAUUCUCCUUGCCUUCUGUUGGGAAGGAUGAAGUAGAAAGGCCUUGUAAAUAUGAUGGUUUAGAUUCUGGGAGUAUGAGUUCAACAAUCGAGAUAGAAAUGAAAGCAAGCUUUGAGAUUUAGGGUGUGGGGUACAGGGCCAUCAGCUAGUGAAUAAUGGUGUGCCAAGCUGAGGGCCAGCUCCCUUGAUUAAACAAUAUACUCCUGCUAAGCUGAGGGCCAGCUCCCUUGAUUAAACAAUAUA
Molecule: long non-coding RNA, 1317 nt
Organism: Prinia subflava (tawny-flanked prinia)
Lineage: Eukaryota; Metazoa; Chordata; Aves; Passeriformes; Cisticolidae
Exons: 3
Source: RefSeq, a predicted model, not a curated record